GGUAGCCGGCCUGAGAGGGCGACCGGCCACACUGGGACUGAGACACGGCCCAGACUCCUACGGGAGGCAGCAGUGGGGAAUAUUGCGCAAUGGGCGAAAGCCUGACGCAGCAACGCCGCGUGAGGGAUGACGGCCUUCGGGUUGUAAACCUCUUUCAGCAGGGACGAAGCGAAAGUGACUGUACCUGCAGAAGAAGCGCCGGCUAACUACGUGCCAGCAGCCGCGGUAAUACGUAGGGCGCAAGCGUUGUCCGGAUUUAUUGGGCGUAAAGAGUUCGUAGGCGGUCUGUCGCGUCGGAAGUGAAAACCCGGAGCUCAACUCCGGGCCUGCUUUCGAUACGGGCAGACUUGAGUGUUGCAGGGGAGACUGGAAUUCC
RNAcentral lists this ribosomal RNA (376 nucleotides) under uncultured bacterium. RNAcentral's name for it is "bacterial SSU rRNA". It matches the Rfam family "Bacterial small subunit ribosomal RNA", at positions 282 to 670 of the family's 1533-position model. The record is from RNAcentral.